AGCUCCAAUAGCGUAUAUUAAUGUUGUUGCAGUUAAAAAGCUCGUAGUUGGAUUUCUGCCGGGAGCGCUUGGUCCGCCCCUCACGGGGUGUGCACUUUGGCGUCUUUCGGCAUCCUUGGCGAGAGCUUUCUGGGCAUUAGUUUGUUCGGGGAGGGAUCGCCAUCAUUUACUGUGAAAAAAUUAGAGUGUUUAAAGCAGGCGUUUGCUGUGAAUACAUUAGCAUGGAAUAAUAAGAUAGGACUUUGGUACUAUUUUGUUGGUUUGUAUACCGAGGUAAUGAUUAAUAGGGACAGUUGGGGGUAUUCGUAUUUAAUUGUCAGAGGUGAAAUUCUUGGAUUUAUGAAAGACGAACUACUGCGAAAGCAUUUACCAAGGAUGUUUUCA
Molecule: ribosomal RNA, 384 nt
Filed under: uncultured eukaryote
Lineage: Eukaryota
Description: SSU rRNA
Rfam family: Eukaryotic small subunit ribosomal RNA
Source: RNAcentral